AGUUAGAGUCCAUGAGAAAAACUGAAAAGAAGAUACUUUGAAGAAUGCAGGUAAUCAAAACCAACAGGUGCAGACAUGAAAGCUCCCAAG
Long non-coding RNA from Sinocyclocheilus anshuiensis, 90 nucleotides. RefSeq lists it as uncharacterized. The transcript is spliced from 3 exons. The record is from RefSeq and is a predicted model, not a curated record. NCBI's taxonomy places the organism in Eukaryota, Metazoa, Chordata, Actinopteri, Cypriniformes, Cyprinidae.